CAGGAUAUAGCUAAGACAGCUAAAGCAUCUCCCUCACACCGAGAAGUCAUCCGUGCAAUUCGGAUUGCCCUGA
RNAcentral lists this transfer RNA (73 nucleotides) under Chaetodon speculum (mirror butterflyfish). Its description in RNAcentral is "tRNA-Val". It matches the Rfam family "tRNA". From Rfam's summary of the family: Transfer RNA (tRNA) molecules are approximately 80 nucleotides in length. Their secondary structure includes four short double-helical elements and three loops (D, anti-codon, and T loops). The record is from RNAcentral. Lineage: Eukaryota; Metazoa; Chordata; Actinopteri; Chaetodontiformes; Chaetodontidae.